Girardinichthys multiradiatus is the source of this 1808-nucleotide long non-coding RNA. RefSeq lists it as uncharacterized. NCBI's taxonomy places the organism in Eukaryota, Metazoa, Chordata, Actinopteri, Cyprinodontiformes, Goodeidae. The record is from RefSeq and is a predicted model, not a curated record. The transcript has 4 exons.
UCUGUCAGCUGAACAUCUUAUCCAACAAAUCUAGCAAAUACACCUAUUUUAGUGCGAAGACUUCUCAGUUAGACAAUGCAGUCUAAGUGAUAAGCACUGGCGACCUGUCCAGGUUAUACCCCGCCUAUCACCCAAUGCUUGAUUGGGAUCAGGAAGGCCAUCCUGAUCACAGAAGGUCCUUCUCAUCCCCUCCAUGAAUCAUUCCAGCUGCUCCCAUCAGGACCCGUCCACCCCUCCCACCUCCUGUCUCUCACAGGAUCUGCUCUACCGGGAAUGCUUUGGAUGAGAGGAAGCUGAAACAACAAGGAGGCUUUUGACUCCCAUCGGUGUGCUGCAGACUUCUUCACACCAGAGGCAGAGAAGCAGGUGGAACAACUUACAGAGGUUCAACAACUUCCAGCUCCCAGGAGGAAGUGACACAGUGCCCCACAGAGUUUGUGAUCUCAUUAGCCACAGUACACCUGAACACCAAACAUAUGGAGGGCCACCAGGACAGCAAAUCAUUCAUCCACUGUCUUCUGCUUAUCCGAGAUCAAUCCUGGAGGAUUGGAGGCUCAGAAAGAAAGUUCUGGGUCUGCCUAAGGGUCUCCUGCCUGUAAGUGGCAUAUGUUGGAAAACAUCCAAAGGGAGACAUCCAGGAGCCAGCCUAAUCAGAUGAACCGCCAUAGAUGACUCUUUUAGAUGUGGAGGAACAGCGACACUAUUCUUGAGAUGCAACAGGGUGACGACACCUAGUCUGUCCAUGCUUCAGGCUUCAUCCCAAUUUACAGACAUGGGGACUUUUUAAAAUAAUCAUGAAAAGAUGCUUUUGCAUUAUUAACGUGCAGUUCUGUUUGCAUUAAUGAGCUCACAGGGAGAAAAGUUAGGUCCCAUAAAAACACAAGUGUGCAGGAAAAGCUCAGGCAAGCACACUAAUGUUCCUUCUGUUUAACCACUUUAAGUGAGCUUCAUCCAAACACAUGUGAUUGGCAGGUAGGAGUCCAUACACGUCACAGCAUCAGGACCGCUCCCUUUUUACAUAACCUAAAGAAGCUCCAGAAGUUUUUCCUUCCCACCAUAAACAAGGUCUGCCUCCGUCAAUAUCAUUCCUUCUUAUAUGUACCAAUUAAAGGCACCCAUGUUAUCCAAGCUGAAGAUGUGAGUGUGGAUUUGAUUUGCUGACAACAUACUUUACAAAUGCUUAUCUAAUAAAUCCAAGAAUAAAAGGUCUGCAUCUGGAAAAUCUGGCACCUUCUAUGUUUUAGAGGUCCACACCUCAAGCCAGGUGGUCGAUGUUGUUCAGAACUUCUUCCAUGAUUUCAUGUUCAUUCUUAAUGCAUUCCCCUUCUACAAACGGUGUUGAUCAGCCAUUGCUGUAAUGAAAACACUUGUGGUAUGAUGCCUCUUACCUGCGUACAUUUUAGCACUUUAACAACUUUUUGACAAGACAAGAUGCAUAUUCUGCAUGUUGUUUGGUUAGAGCAAUGAAGGAAAUGUAAAUUAAACCCUUUAAUUAAUUUCUGAUUGCAGGCUUCUUGUUGCAGCAUUUGUAGAUGCAUUGUUUAAAGAAUAAGUUGUAAGAAACAUGUACUGGAAUCUCUCUGUUGAAAGGGGUGGUUAUGGUUUACAUUAACGUGUUCCUGCUUGCUCAUGAAAAACAGGCCUGUACGGAGACGAAGUUUAAACUUUCCAACAAUAUGUUAUUUUUCCUUUUUUCUCCCUUUGGAUAAUUUAAAUGGUUUACCGUAAUUUUUAUUUUUGUUUUGCAAACCUGGUUGUUUUCUUGUUUGGUUUUUAGUUUUUUUGUUUGAUUUAGUUAAUGCAUACAG